GGCUGUAGCUCAGUGGUAGAGCACUUGCCUUGCAUGUAUGAGGCACUGGGUUCGGUCCUCAGCACCA
This 67-nucleotide transfer RNA is filed under the name Marmota monax (woodchuck). Its description in RNAcentral is "tRNA.Ala". It matches the Rfam family "tRNA", at positions 6 to 65 of the family's 71-position model. Rfam says of the family: Transfer RNA (tRNA) molecules are approximately 80 nucleotides in length. Their secondary structure includes four short double-helical elements and three loops (D, anti-codon, and T loops). Lineage: Eukaryota; Metazoa; Chordata; Mammalia; Rodentia; Sciuridae. The record is from RNAcentral.